CUUUCUUGAACAAAAUGGCGGCCAGGAAGCGAUUUUUAUGAAUGAUAACCACAAUGUUUGCUGUUUUAUAAGCAAAAUAUGAUAUGUCAAGGGAUGUCUUAUCAUCCCGUGGAUACAUAAGCUGAGGACCACUGCCACCAGCUGUUGGUCACACCAUCACCACCACCCACAACAGAGAACUGGGCACAGAGGACACAGUCACUAAUGUAGUGUCUGGAGGCUAGGCCAGGAGAGACACCAUCACCACCACCCACAACAGAGAACUGGGCACAGAGGACACAGUCGCUAAUGUAGUGUCUGGAGGCUAAGCCAGGAGAGACACCAUCACCACCACCCACAACAGAGAACUGGGCACAGAGGACACAGUCGCUAAUGUAGUGUCUGGAGGCUAAGCCAGGAGAGACACACAAACACACCCAGACACAUAGAUGUUCCGGUCUGCCUGGUUUCCGCGACCACGCCACGCCAAGCCAGGGCAAUGGUUGGGCUCGCAUGUUAGAGUCUUAGGGUUAGGGAGCCAGGUCAAGGGUGGGGCUUCCCUGUUAGGGUCUUAGGGUUAGGGGACCAGGGCAAGGGUUGGGCUCCCCUGUUAGGGUCUUAGGAUUAGGGCAAGGCUGGGGCUCCCCUAUUUGGGUCUUAGGGUUAGGGAA
Haliotis rufescens (red abalone) is the source of this 650-nucleotide long non-coding RNA. RefSeq lists it as uncharacterized. The record is from RefSeq and is a predicted model, not a curated record. NCBI's taxonomy places the organism in Eukaryota, Metazoa, Mollusca, Gastropoda, Lepetellida, Haliotidae. The transcript has 3 exons.